This 1491-nucleotide long non-coding RNA is filed under the name Corvus moneduloides (New Caledonian crow). Its description in RNAcentral is "lncRNA (ENSCMUG00000017647.1)". Lineage: Eukaryota; Metazoa; Chordata; Aves; Passeriformes; Corvidae. The record is from RNAcentral.
AUGCGCCCGCUGCAAGAGACACACGUUAGUGGGGGCCCACAGCCCCCCGCAACCCCCCGGGAUGGGGCGGGGGCAACAGAAACCCCCGGGACCCCCCCCCCCGGGGAGGUUUGGGAAGUAGAGACCGCCCCCCCCACGGGUGAGGGGGGCUGCACCCGCUGCAAUAGAGGCACUUUAAGGGUGGGAGGGCUGCGACCCCCUGGCCCGGACCUCCGAGACCCUCCGGGGAGGGUUUGUCACCAGAGACCCCCCCGGGGACAAUUCGGGCUCCAGGGACCACUCGGGACCCCCACGGGGCCACUUCAGGUGCUGGGGGUUGGAAAACCCUGGGGACACCCUCUCGGAGGGGGGCACACACCAGUGGACAGCGGGGACCCCGAGGGGGGGCCAGAGCACUCGGGGGGGGGGUUUCGGUCACCUUUUCUGCCGGCCCCUCCCCACGGACCCCGCUGCACCCCCGGGGAUGGGGGGGGGGAACGGGGCGCGACCCCUCCACCGUGUCCCCGGCGCUGGGAGGAGCCCGCGGGGUCCGGGGGUGUCCCUGUCCCCCCCCGCACCCCCCUGGGGGGGUCCUUACCAGGCGGCGGGGUCGUACUCGGCCCAGACCCGCACAUACUCGUCCAGGUGGUGCGGGCCCAGGAUGGACGAGUCCCGCGUCAGGUACUCGAAGUUGUCCAUGAUGACGGCGACAAAGAGGUUCAGCAUCUUCGGGAACGGGGGCGCGGGGGGGGUCAAGGGUGGGAGGGCGCGGUGUCCUCCUCCCCAGAGCCCCCCGGAGCCCCCCCGGGCUCAGCAGAGAGGAAGGAGAUGGGAGAAGGAGCAGAGGUGAAGGAGCAGGGGUGUCAGGGGUGGGCGGGCGGUUUGGGGACCCCCCCCCCGGGAGCUCACCAGGAAGGAGCAGAGGAAGAUGAAGGACACGAAGUAGAAGUAGGCGAACUCGUUGCCGCACUCAUCCUCCUUGAUGCCCGAGUUCUCGUCGCACGGCUUCCCGCUCAGGCACGACAGCAUGAUCUCGUGCCACGCCUCCCCGGUGGCGCUCCUGGCGACAGGGGACGCGCCGGUCACACGGACGGCAAGGGGGACACGGCGGGGGGAACACGGCGGCGCGGCUCUCAUAGCGCGGGUGGCACCAGUAUGGCACUGGGUGGCACUGGGACUGUGCUGGGAACGUGCUCGGGUGGCACUGAGUACCCAGGUGACACUGGGGUGGCACUGGGACUGUGCCGGGGGCCACACUGCGGUGGCACUGAGCGCCCAGGUGACAGCGGGGCCCACCUGAAGAGCAGCAUCAGUGCCUGGAAGAAGGUGCGGAAGUUGUUGUGCUGGGUGAUGGCCGACUCAUCAUCCUCCUCCUCGAUCCCGAUGUUCCCAAACACCUGGGGGGGGGGCAGGGCAGCUCAGGGGGGCCGCGGGGGGGCUGGGGGUGUCACCUGCACCCGGGGGUGUCACCUGCACCUGGGGGGUCUCACCUGCAUCCCGAUGAUGGCGUAG